Molecule: ribosomal RNA, 468 nt
Filed under: uncultured bacterium
Lineage: Bacteria
Description: partial 16S ribosomal RNA
Rfam family: Bacterial small subunit ribosomal RNA
Source: RNAcentral
GACGAACGCUGGUGGCGUGCUUAACACAUGAAAGUCGAACGGAAAGGCCCUGCUUUUGUGGGGUGCUCGAGUGGCGAACGGGUGAGUAACACGUGAGUAACCUGCCCUUGACUUUGGGAUAACUUCAGGAAACUGGGGCUAAUACCGGAUAGGAGCUCCUGCUGCAUGGUGGGGGUUGGAAAGUUUCGGCGGUUGGGGAUGGACUCGCGGCUUAUCAGCUUGUUGGUGGGGUAGUGGCUUACCAAGGCUUUGACGGGUAGCCGGCCUGAGAGGGUGACCGGCCACAUUGGGACUGAGAUACGGCCCAGACUCCUACGGGAGGCAGCAGUGGGGAAUAUUGCACAAUGGGCGGAAGCCUGAUGCAGCAACGCCGCGUGCGGGAUGACGGCCUUCGGGUUGUAAACCGCUUUCGCCUGUGACGAAGCGUGAGUGACGGUAAUGGGUAAAGAAGCACCGGCUAACUACGUG